RNAcentral lists this transfer RNA (72 nucleotides) under Cavia porcellus (domestic guinea pig). It matches the Rfam family "tRNA". From Rfam's summary of the family: Transfer RNA (tRNA) molecules are approximately 80 nucleotides in length. Their secondary structure includes four short double-helical elements and three loops (D, anti-codon, and T loops). Further hydrogen bonds mediate the characteristic L-shaped molecular structure. tRNAs have two regions of fundamental functional importance: the anti-codon, which is responsible for specific mRNA codon recognition, and the 3' end, to which the tRNAs corresponding amino acid is attached (by aminoacyl-tRNA synthetases). tRNAs cope with the degeneracy of the genetic code in two manners: having more than one tRNA (with a specific anti-codon) for a particular amino acid; and 'wobble' base-pairing, i.e. permitting non-standard base-pairing at the 3rd anti-codon position. The record is from Rfam by way of RNAcentral. Lineage: Eukaryota; Metazoa; Chordata; Mammalia; Rodentia; Caviidae.
GGGGAUGUGGUUCAAUGGUAGACCUCUUGCCUUGUAUUCACAAGACCCUGGGUUCAAUCCCCAGUACCACCA